ACUCCUACGGGAGGCAGCAGUGGGGAAUAUUGCACAAUGGGCGCAAGGCCUGAUGCAGCCCAUGCCGCGUGUGUGAAGAAGGCCUUCGGGGUUGUAAAAGCACUUUUCAGUCGUGAGGAAGGUAGUGUAGUUAAAUAGCUGCAUUAUUUGACGUUAGCGAACAGAAGAAGCACCGGCUAACUCCGUGCCAGCAGCCGCGGUAAUACGGAGGGUGCGAGCGUUAAUCGGAAUUACUGGGCGUAAAAGCGCAUGCAGGUGGUUUUG
Molecule: ribosomal RNA, 264 nt
Filed under: uncultured bacterium
Lineage: Bacteria
Description: partial 16S ribosomal RNA
Rfam family: Bacterial small subunit ribosomal RNA
Source: RNAcentral